Hordeum vulgare subsp. vulgare (domesticated barley) is the source of this 121-nucleotide non-coding RNA. NCBI's taxonomy places the organism in Eukaryota, Viridiplantae, Streptophyta, Magnoliopsida, Poales, Poaceae. The record is from Rfam.
AUACCUUUCUCGGCCUUUUGGCUAAGAUCAAGUGUAGUAUCUGUUCUUAUCAGUUUAAUAUCUGAUAUGUGGGCCAUGUGCCCACAACGAUAUUAAAUUUAUUUUUUAUGGGGGAGGGCCC